UUUCCGUAGGUGAACCUGCGGAAGGAUCAUUAAAAAUUGGACUCCAUUGGUGAGUUCAUUAAUAAUCCCUACCCUUUGUGAAUUUGUUUGUUUGAAUAAUUUUUUUCCAAAAAAAAUUAUUGAAUGUCUUUCCUUGUUUUGGUGGAGCUUGUAAAGUGAAACCAGGCAGGGGAAUGGCAAACAAUAAUUAUUUUUGAAAAGACCUUUUUUUAAAAUUAAACUUUUUGUAUUCAUUUGUCUAAAAUUAAUUUUUAUAAUAUAAAAACAACUUUUGACAAUGGAUCUCUUGGUUCUCGCAACGAUGAAGAACGCAGCAAAAUGCGAUAAGUAGUGUGAAUUGCAGAAUACGUGAAUCAUCGAAUCUUCGAACGCAUAUUGCACUUUUUUAGUUUACUAAAAAAGUAUGUCUGUUUGAGUAUCAGUAAAAUAUUCUCAUAAAAAACAUUGUUUUUUUAUGGUUAUGAGUGUUUUACAACGAUAACAAGUUGUUUCACUUUAAAUUCUUUGUUAUCAAAAAAAUCAUUAAAAGCUAAUUUUAAAGAUUUUUUAAAAUUGGAUAAAAUUUUCCCGUAAAAAGGAAUAACCUAAACAAUUUUAAAAAAUUAAAAUUGGUUUGAUUUUUUUUGAAACCCAAAGGAAAAAAAACGAAAUUAACUUGAUCUCAAAUCAGAUAAGAGUACCCGCUGAACUUAAGCAUAUCAAUAAGCGGAGGAAAAGAAACUAACUAGGAUUCCCUCAGUAACGGCGAGUGAAGCGGGAAGAGCUCAAAUUUGAAAUCUUCAAGGUUUUACCUUGACGAAUUGUAGUUUAAAGAAGUGUUUUCUGUUGGAGUUUUGGUAAAAGUUCUUUGGAAAAGGACAUCAUAGAGGGUGAGAAUCCCGUAUUUGACCAUUAUCUCCAGCUUUGUGAUACACUUUCAAAGAGUCGGAUUGUUUGGGAAUGCAGUCCAAAAUGGGUGGUAAAUUUCAUCUCAAGCUAAAUACUGGCGAGAGACCGAUAGCGAACAAGUACCGUGAGGGAAAGAUGAAAAGAACUUUGAAAAGAGAGUUAAACAGUACGUGAAAUUGUCAAAAGGGAAGCGUUUGACACCAGUGUUGUUUUCUCGAAAAUCAAUUAAAAAAGGCCGGAUUUUGUGUUGUAUUGACUUUAUCAGCUUUCUGCACUUUUUCUUGUCUUUUUUAAUGCACUUUUCGUUUAACAAGUCAACAUCAAUUUCUUUUGUUGUAAAAGGGUCAUUGGAAGGUGGCUUUCUUUUCGGAGAAAGUGUUUAUAGCCUUUGGCCUCUGCAAUCGGAGAGAUUGAGGUCUGCAGCGUAGAUCCUUCGGGGUUAGAUACAUUUGUGCUAAGUUAUAGCCUUUCAUAGACAACUUGUUGACUAUGAUCAGUCAUGUAGCUUACUCGCUUAUGCUAUUUUACCUACGCUUAGGAUGUUG
This 1433-nucleotide unclassified non-coding RNA is filed under the name uncultured Neocallimastigales. RNAcentral describes it as "partial contains small subunit ribosomal RNA, internal transcribed spacer 1, 5.8S ribosomal RNA, internal transcribed spacer 2, and large subunit ribosomal RNA". The stretch from base 657 to 1433 matches the Rfam family "Eukaryotic large subunit ribosomal RNA", at positions 1 to 628 of the family's 3401-position model. The record is from RNAcentral. Lineage: Eukaryota; Fungi; Neocallimastigomycota; Neocallimastigomycetes; Neocallimastigales.